RNAcentral lists this small RNA (27 nucleotides) under Bombyx mori (domestic silkworm). RNAcentral describes it as "ovarian small RNA-4183". Lineage: Eukaryota; Metazoa; Arthropoda; Insecta; Lepidoptera; Bombycidae. The record is from RNAcentral.
AAACGUUCUACACAAUCUGGACCACCA